This 87-nucleotide transfer RNA is filed under the name Effusibacillus dendaii. RNAcentral's name for it is "Effusibacillus sp. skT53 tRNA-Leu". It matches the Rfam family "tRNA". Rfam says of the family: Transfer RNA (tRNA) molecules are approximately 80 nucleotides in length. The record is from RNAcentral. Lineage: Bacteria; Bacillati; Bacillota; Bacilli; Caryophanales; Alicyclobacillaceae.
GCCGGAGUGGUGGAAUGGCAGACACAAGGGACUUAAAAUCCCUCGGGUGUAUAACCCGUACCGGUUCGAGUCCGGUCUCCGGCACCA